AGUGAACGCUGGCGGUAGGCCUAACACAUGCAAGUCGAACGGCAGCACAGUAAGAGCUUGCUCUUACGGGUGGCGAGUGGCGGACGGGUGAGGAAUACAGCGGAAUCUACUUUUUCGUGGGGGAUAACGUAGGGAAACUUACGCUAAUACCGCAUACGACCUACGGGUGAAAGCAGGGGAUCUUCGGACCUUGCGCGAUUGAAUGAGCCGAUGUCGGAUUAGCUAGUUGGCGGGGUAAAGGCCCACCAAGGCGACGAUCCGUAGCUGGUCUGAGAGGAUGAUCAGCCACACUGGAACUGAGACACGGUCCAGACUCCUACGGGAGGCAGCAGUGGGGAAUAUUGGACAAUGGGCGCAAGCCUGAUCCAGCCAUGCCGCGUGGGUGAAGAAGGCCUUCGGGUUGUAAAGCCCUUUUGUUGGGAAAGAAAAGCAGCAGGUUAAUACCCCGCUGUUCUGACGGUACCCAAAGAAUAAGCACCGGCUAACUUCGUG
Molecule: ribosomal RNA, 492 nt
Filed under: uncultured bacterium
Lineage: Bacteria
Description: partial 16S ribosomal RNA
Rfam family: Bacterial small subunit ribosomal RNA
Source: RNAcentral